UACGGAGGGGGCAAGCGUUGUUCGGAAUUACUGGGCGUAAAGGGCUUGUAGGCGGCCAAUUAAGUCAUAUGUGAAAUCCCUCGGCUUAACCGGGGAACUGCGUCUGAUACUGGAUGGCUUGAGUUUGGGAGAGGGAUGCGGAAUUCCAGGUGUAGCGGUGAAAUGCGUAGAGAUUCGGAGGAACACCAGUGGCGAAGGCGGCUUUCUGGCCUGAUUCUGACGCUGAGAAGCGAAAGCCAGGGGAGCGAACGGG
This 253-nucleotide ribosomal RNA is filed under the name uncultured bacterium. RNAcentral describes it as "partial 16S ribosomal RNA". It matches the Rfam family "Bacterial small subunit ribosomal RNA", at positions 524 to 776 of the family's 1533-position model. The record is from RNAcentral.